AUGAGAACUGGGGUCUGGUUGCUAGGUGGCGUGAGGAGGAGUCCGGGAGGAGGGCCUGCAGCACGCAGGGCACCCAGGUGUUUCCGUUCCAGGACCUCCCGCAGGCACUUUGCUCUCUCGAGGUUCUGCCGGAUCCGGCUUCGUCUGGGAACACCGGCGAAGGUAGCGGUGCCUUGGGCAGGAUUCUGCCCGUCUCUGAGCCUCCCUUCCACCUUGCUGCAUUCCAGCCUGGCCUCUGCCUGCUCCUCCAUCAGGUCCCCGCUUACAACCGCCAGCAACCCCUCCUUCACCAGGCCCACCUUUGGCCCUCAGGGCGCUGGCUGUUGGGCUGGUUUUUCGAGAAAGCAAUACGGUGACGCUAUUCUUCAAAGGAAAGACUCCAAGAGUAGGAGUGAUAUCUCCUGGGACAAAUUCGAGACACCUCACAGCUGCUGGCAGCAACGACUGGACCCAAAAAUGUGGGCAAAUUCUUCACCAUCUGAGCCACCAGAGAACCCCAGUGGCGACAUGGUGCUCUCUUCUGUUUCCAUCUUGAAGGAGAAACAAGAGUUUCCUCUACGCCAUGCUGCAAAAGGAAGGGGCGUGAACAGGUGCCCCAAAUGUUGCUACUUUCAGCUGGAGGCAGCAGAACUCUGA
This 636-nucleotide long non-coding RNA is filed under the name Capra hircus (goat). RNAcentral's name for it is "lncRNA (ENSCHIG00010029032.1)". The record is from RNAcentral. Lineage: Eukaryota; Metazoa; Chordata; Mammalia; Artiodactyla; Bovidae.